CAGUGUUAACGAUGUCCGUUUAGGAUUCCAAGUCUGUGAAUAGCUUCGUAUGUUGAUUCUUGAUAUGGGAGCGCGAUCGGAAAUGAAUGGAAAGUCCAUGGGUUAUUUUGGAAUUAUUUGGCUAAAGAUAAAAAUUUGAAGGUUUUUUAGAAGUUUGACCGGAAAUGAUCCUUUUAAUAUCGGGGUCAAAUUUUGAUUUCGGAAGUUGGAGUAGAUCUGUAAUGUCAAAUAUGACUUGUGUG
RNAcentral lists this long non-coding RNA (242 nucleotides) under Nicotiana benthamiana. RNAcentral describes it as "long non-coding RNA (NBEN_LNC025761)". The record is from RNAcentral. Lineage: Eukaryota; Viridiplantae; Streptophyta; Magnoliopsida; Solanales; Solanaceae.